UCUGGCCGGCGCGCCCACGCCCACACUCGGCGGCUUCACGGGAAGCAUUCGGCUUCUCUCAGCCGCCCCUUCCUCGCAGGUGAGGCAGGUGAAGGGCAGAUUUGCCCACGAGAAAGCUGGGUGCCCAGAGAUGAGGGCCUACAAAUGCAGCCUCUGAUCUCCAAAUGCCAGCCAGGAAGUCCAGCAUCGUUCGCGAGCUGACGCUCCGGACACACCGGUGCUCGGCUGUCAAGCGCUGGGCGCAUCUGGAGGGCGUCAGGAGGUGAAACCCAGUAGAGGCUGUGACCUAGGCUCCCUGCUUCUCCUUCUGCCUCCUGACUGACUCUGGGGCUUCCCCGUGUGACCCUGUGUGACAAGGCACUCCCCUGCCUCUUGGGAAACGCAAUGUCGGGCAGAGUUGAAUAGAACACCGCAGAUACUCUGCAAAGCCAUUGAUUCACCGGCAGACGUUCGAGAAUUUAUGUGGCAACAGUAUCUGAAGACUUGAGGGCAACAUCAAUUUAUUUCUGCACACUCUCUGGCCCAGCGAUUUCAUUUGACGGAAUCUAUCCUAACAAAACAUUACGGUACGUGCGCAAAAAUGUAUGUUGCAAGGAUGUUCAUAAGGUCAUUUUAAUGGCAAAAGAAUUGGAAACUAAAAAUCCAUUUUAUAGGAACGAGACUGCAUAAAUUACAGUACAUUUACAUAACAGGGUCCUCUGAAGCUGAUGAAAGAGAGAGCUCUAUUUAUAUAUGCGUCUCACAGAGAUCUCUAAGACAUCGCGUUCAAAGAGAAAAGCAAGAUGGACUGUGCAGUGAGUGAUGACAUGUCAGUGUAGGUGCAGCGGUUGUAACAGAUGCAGGCAAUGCCGGUGCUGGGGAGGCUGGGAGUGUGUGGGGGCAGGGUGUCUGGGAAAUCUCUGUACCCUCCGCUAAAUUUUGCUGGGAACCUAAAUCUGCUAUAAUAAAUGGUCUGUUUAAAAAAGAAAAAGAAAAAAAGCACAUUACAAAGCAUUACAUACACUGCAAUCCCAUUUAGGUAAAAUAGGAAGCAA
This is a long non-coding RNA of Lemur catta (Ring-tailed lemur), 1034 nucleotides long. RefSeq lists it as uncharacterized. The transcript has 3 exons. NCBI's taxonomy places the organism in Eukaryota, Metazoa, Chordata, Mammalia, Primates, Lemuridae. The record is from RefSeq and is a predicted model, not a curated record.